Molecule: unclassified non-coding RNA, 465 nt
Filed under: Bombus terrestris (buff-tailed bumblebee)
Lineage: Eukaryota; Metazoa; Arthropoda; Insecta; Hymenoptera; Apidae
Description: misc RNA ENSBTSG00005027121.1
Source: RNAcentral
CAGUGAGAGAUAAAGAAGGGCGAGUAACGGAGGAGUUAGUUGUUAAGAACGAGAGAAAGCAAGAAAGAUAAUGCCAGGAAAAGAGGAGAUUCGGUUUAGGAUUUCCGCAAUGGGGCUAGAAGAUCGAAGAUGAAAUAAAAUGGGAUGCAAAGCUAGUGAGGGAAAUAGAUAGAUGGAAGGAGAGAGAAACAAGGUAGGAAGGGAACAGGCGUUUACGUGCGCCAGACAUCCGAUGAUGCAUAGUUGCUGUUGACAUGCUGGAAUGUCAGGCUCACAUGACCUCUCGAGCACAGCCAUUAUCCGCAAAGCGACCCCCAAUUUAGGACAAUAACCGCUUCGUAGAGUCGUGUAAUAAUUAUUGGCCGGUUUUCGGGUUCACCCUUUUACCCCCUUUAGUUAUCAGCGCCAGCAUUUUGUCACAAUCAUUGCCUAAUAAUUAUUUGGAACAGCAAUAUAUAUAGAUAG